RNAcentral lists this ribosomal RNA (795 nucleotides) under uncultured bacterium. RNAcentral describes it as "bacterial SSU rRNA". It matches the Rfam family "Bacterial small subunit ribosomal RNA", at positions 8 to 796 of the family's 1533-position model. The record is from RNAcentral.
AGAGUUUGAUCCUGGCUCAGAACGAACGCUGGCGGCGUGCCUAACACAUGCAAGUCGAACGGACUUAUUAGGAAGUAGCAAUACGGAAUAAUAAGUUAGUGGCAGACGGGUGAGUAACACGUGGGUAACCUACCCCUUGGCGGGGAAUAACCAUUCGAAAGGGUGGCUAAUACCGCAUAAGACCACGUCUCUGAUGGGACGAGGUAAAAGACGAAAGUCACCGAGGGAGGGGCCCGCGGCCGAUUAGCUAGUUGGUGGGGUAAUGGCUCACCAAGGCAACGAUCGGUAGCUGGUCUGAGAGGAUGAUCAGCCACACUGGUUCUUAGACACGGACCAGACUCCUACGGGAGGCAGCAGUGGGGAAUAUUGCGCAAUGGACGAAAGUCUGACGCAGCAACGCCGCGUGGGUGAAGAAGGCCUUCGGGUCGUAAAGCCCUGUCAGGUGGGAAGAAACCUGCGAAUAGCAGCUGACGGUACCACCAAAGGAAGCACCGGCUAACUCCGUGCCAGCAGCCGCGGUAAUACGGAGGGUGCAAGCGUUGUUCGGAAUCACUGGGCGUAAAGGGCGCGUAGGCGGCCGUACAAGUCUGAUGUGAAAGCCCGAGGCUUAACCUCGGAAGUGCAUUGGAAACUGUACGGCUUGAGUUCGGGAGAGGAGGGCAGAAUUCCUGGUGUAGGGGUGAAAUCCGUAGAUAUCAGGAGGAAAACCAGUGGCGAAGGCGGCCCUCUGGAACGAAACUGACGUUGAGGCGCGAAAGCGUGGGUAGCAAACAGGAUUAGAUACCCUGGUAGUCC